UACAGGGGGGGCAAGCGUUGUUCGGAAUUACUGGGCGUAAAGGGCUCGUAGGCGGCCAACUAAGUCCGACGUGAAAUCCCAAAGCUUAACUUUGGAACUGCGUCGGAUACUGGAUGGCUUGAAUUCGGGAGAGGGAUGCAGAAUUCCAGGUGUAGCGGUGAAAUGCGUAGAUAUCAGGAGGAAUACCGGUGGCGAAGGCGGCCUUCUGGACGGUGACUGACGCUGAGACGCGAAAGCGUGGGGAGCAAACAGG
RNAcentral lists this ribosomal RNA (253 nucleotides) under uncultured bacterium. RNAcentral's name for it is "partial 16S ribosomal RNA". It matches the Rfam family "Bacterial small subunit ribosomal RNA", at positions 524 to 776 of the family's 1533-position model. The record is from RNAcentral.